UGAUGUCAGUGAAAAAAAAUAACAAUAAAAGAGGAAAAAUGAAAAUGGAGUGCUACUACUACAAUUCGAUUCAAGAAUCAAGACUGCCAAUCACAGUAGCAGCACCCCCAACCCCCACCCCACCCCCACCACGAACCCAAUAAAACUUAUCUUUCCUGGAUUGCACUUUUCAAGCUUUACAAAGUGAGAAUUGUUAAAUAAUGGCAAUAGUUGCUUCUGCUCCUGGAAAGGUUUUGAUGACUGGAGGUUAUCUUGUUUUGGAGAGGCCUAAUGCUGGUAUCGUACUGAGCACAAAUGCUCGUUUUUAUGCUAUUGUGAAGCCACUUUAUGAGGAAAUUAAACCUGAAAGUUGGGCAUGGGGCUGGACAGAUGUGAAAUUGACUUCUCCCCAGAUGGAAAGAGAAACCAUGUAUAAACUUUCUCUUAAACACCUAAAACUUCAGCCUGUUUCCUCAAGUGGAUCAAGAAACCCCUUUGUAGAACAUGCGGUGCAGUAUGCCGUUGCAGCAGCCCAUGCAACACUUGACAAAGAUAAGAAGGACACAUUGCAGAGACUACUUCUUCAGGGUCUUGACAUAACCAUCUUGGGUUGCAAUGAGUUCUAUUCGUAUCGGAAUCAGAUUGAAGCACGUGGGCUCCCUCUUACACCUGAGUCAUUGGCUUCCCUUCCAUCUUUCUCUUCAAUCACCUUUAAUGCGGAAGAAUCAACUGGAGAAAAUCGCAAGCCUGAAGUUGCAAAGACUGGAUUAGGGUCAUCAGCAGCUAUGACAACUGCAGUUGUUGCCGCCUUGCUUCAUUAUCUUGGCGUUGUGAACCUCUCCUCUUUGGCUGAGGACCAACUCCUAGGAAAGAAAGAUGUAGCUGAACUUGAUGUAGUUCAUGUGAUAGCUCAAACUGCUCAUUGCAUUGCACAGGGUAAAGUUGGCAGUGGGUUUGAUGUUAGUUCUGCAGUUUAUGGAAGUCAACGCUAUAUCCGGUUUUCGCCUGAAGUGCUCUCUUCUGCACAGAAUGCAGGUAUGGCAACACCACUAACAGAAGUCAUUGAUGAUGUCCUAAAAGCAAAGUGGGACCAUGAAAAGACCAAGUUCUCAUUGCCUCCUUUGAUGACAUUAUUACUUGGAGAACCGGGCUGUGGAGGAUCUUCAACGCCAUCAAUGGUUGGGGCUGUAAAGAAAUGGCAGAGGUCUGACCCUCAGGAUUCUGUAGAAACAUGGAGAAGAUUGUCAGAAGGAAACUCUUCUCUUGAAGCGUACCUUAAUACCUUGAGUAAAUUGGCAGAGAGACAUUACAAUUCUUAUGAAUGCAUCAUCAAUGCCUGCAGCCUGCUUCCUGCUGAAAAGUGGUUGGAGAGAGCAAAUGAACCAACUCAAGCAGAAAUUGUUAAAGAAUUAUUAGGAGCUCGAGAUGCUAUGCUUCGGAUUAGGUAUCAGAUGCGGAAGAUGGGAGAAGCUGCUGGAAUUCCAGAAGCAUGACUAUAAUUAUGAAAGGGAAGUUCAAAGGGAAAACAAAUAUGUAUUCACCAGUAGUCUUUACAAGAACAAGUUCCAUCUUUGAAAUGGUGGAACUGAUUUCUGUCUCUGACAACGAUCUCUCUUUCGUAAAUCAUGGAAAUUAGUUGAGUGUAUGUGUGACAAUCACUACACAUUCUGACAUUUCUCACUAUCCUUAUAGGAGAACCUUGAGAUGUUUUUAUAAGUGCAAAUGCAAUUGCCAGCUUUUGACAAUGAGUUCUCAAUCUUUGCCUCUUCUCUUCUUCAUCUACAUCAAACAAUACCACUGAUGUAUCUGGUGAAUACCCUUCAAACUUCAGCUGCCAUUCCAUUUGGUGAAUCAUCUCAUAGACCUCAUCACUGCAGGUAUCUGACCUAUCUUGUGACACAAACUUGUAGAGCUUUCUGUUUGCUUCAACCAAGCAAGAACCAGUAUUGUAUUCAAAUGAACCUGGAUCAUCGAUUUCCUCGAAAAUCAAACAAGCAUAGUCCAUGCUGCCCCAUUCUGAAAGUGCACAAGUGGAUAAAAGAUUGCCUGCACAGAAAGAGCUACAUAUGAAUCCAAGUUUCAAGAUUUGGCCAUGGACUUGCUUCAAUUCCCUCAUAUUGUUGCUUUUCUUGAUCAUAGAAAUCCAUUCUUUUUCCUUCAAGCUGAAGUUGAAUUCUUGGGCUUUUGCAUGAUAUUCUUGGGGUAUCAGGAAUGGAGUCUGAUAAAGGACUGAAGUCCUCACCAUCCUGCUUUACACCAUCAUUUAUUUUCAAGAAUUUCUGAGCUUGACGAACUGAUAAACUCACUAGUAUAGUAGUAUCAAGAUUAGAACUUUGUGCUAUGAAAAUAUUAAAAUUUUGGAAA
This is an RNA transcript of Solanum dulcamara, 2343 nucleotides long. It is a transcript of the gene named phosphomevalonate kinase, peroxisomal, with no coding region annotated. The transcript is spliced from 12 exons. The record is from RefSeq and is a predicted model, not a curated record. NCBI's taxonomy places the organism in Eukaryota, Viridiplantae, Streptophyta, Magnoliopsida, Solanales, Solanaceae.